GUCCAGUUGGCUGCACAUACACUAAAAUUGGAGCUAUACAGAGAAGAUUAUCAUGGCCCCUAUGCAAGAAUAACAGACAAAUUCAUGAAGCAUGUAUUUCUUUA
Apodemus sylvaticus (European woodmouse) is the source of this 104-nucleotide small nuclear RNA. Lineage: Eukaryota; Metazoa; Chordata; Mammalia; Rodentia; Muridae. The record is from RefSeq and is a predicted model, not a curated record.